UAGUCUACACAUGUACGUACACUUGUACCU
Molecule: non-coding RNA, 30 nt
Filed under: Rattus norvegicus (Norway rat)
Lineage: Eukaryota; Metazoa; Chordata; Mammalia; Rodentia; Muridae
Source: RNAcentral